AGAGUCCUGCCAAGGGCUACGAGGCAGAAAACUGAUAUUAUUAAAGUGGUCUUCUGAACGGACUUUAGCUGAGGUUGGUUGGGGCAGAAGUCGGGCAAGACUCAUCGGAACGGAUUAACAGAGACAGAAUCCAGAGGCAACGGGGUGAAUUCCAAGUAUAGAAAAGACACACUUGGUCUGAGGGUAUGUUUCAGCUCAGGCAUGCUGCCAUCAGGACCACGUAAAGCUGGAUUUUUCUACGCUAGUCCAUUUGCACGAUCUGGACUCAGAAGAGAUUUAAGUUUCAAAUCUGGCUUUGUCAGUUAAUGCUUGUGGGAUCUCAACCACGUCACUGACUUCUCUGAGCAUGCUUCCAUAUUUCUACAAAGGAAACAAUAGGUGACUCUGCUGAGUUGAGCACUUGCGAGUACCAAGCAGUAAGUGUUUUACACCUAUUUACUCAUUUAAUCCUCCUGAAAAUCCGUGUGACACCUGUGUUGUUAUUACCCCCAUUUGACAGGUGAGGACCUGAGGCACAGAUGCUAACCAGCUUGCUGGAGAUCACACACUCAUGAGUGGCAGAGUGGGGCUUGGAACCGGGUAGCCUGGCUCUGGAGCCCUCACUCCAUCCACACACCAUGCUGGGACCCAGUCGAGUGACCAGCAGACCGGUUGUGUGGGUUAGGUGGAAUGGUGGAUAUAAACCACACAGCCCAGCUCCUGACCCAUGCUGGGCCCUCAUUCCUCCUGAAUUCCUUCUCAUUCCUGCCGCCUUCUGAAGAAGGUGCCUUGCUUCCCCUUCACCUUCUGCCGUGAUUGUAACUUUCCUGAGGCCUCCCCAGCCAUGC
Molecule: long non-coding RNA, 827 nt
Filed under: Homo sapiens (human)
Lineage: Eukaryota; Metazoa; Chordata; Mammalia; Primates; Hominidae
Description: non-protein coding LINC00486:22
Source: RNAcentral